This 259-nucleotide long non-coding RNA is filed under the name Elaeis guineensis (African oil palm). RNAcentral describes it as "long non-coding RNA (EGUI_LNC049630)". Lineage: Eukaryota; Viridiplantae; Streptophyta; Magnoliopsida; Arecales; Arecaceae. The record is from RNAcentral.
UUGCAUCUUCCGCCUAUAAAAAGGGGACUCCAGAUAUGUUAUUCUCUAAGCUCUAAUUUCUAUCUCAAAACUCUGCUAAAAUUUCUGUUCGAGCACUCCAUUCUUGUUGAGGCAGAGAACUGACUUGAGCGUUGGAGGGUCUUGCCGGAGUACCCCCAACUCUGAUUUAGACUUCCUUUGCAGGUCCCGGCGGUGACCGCGACUCCCUCGACUCCAGCUUCUCCAACGCCGGCGGAUUUUUGCACCAACAAGGUCCAUU